GAGGGCGCCAAACACAGUUUAAUUGCCAAACACGCAGCUGUCUUGGUCACUGUGUAUACUAAGUUUGUUUACUUUUCUGCGUUUGUGAUUAUGGAAUAUGGGUCUUUGGUUGAGACCCUCCCACUCCAGUUUCAUGCUCUUAUUUCAUUAUCAUAUUUCUAAUAUUCAUAGGACUGCAGACAUGGUGUACAACCUCUGUCUCUCCGUUCCUUUGGAAUAUUGAGGAGUCUUUGGAUGAACUCGCGUUUACUUCUGGCAAUAGCUAGCAAACCUUCAAGUGGGCUUGAUCAUCUUCUGUUGUUGGAUGAGCCAUAGGCAUAGCCAAUGUCAUCGCCGAUCGCAUCAUUUCGGAUGUCAUGACGGUGGUGCAGGAGGGAAGUCAACCAAAUUUCCAAAGCUGAUAAAAAUCAACCAGUCUAAGUAAGUUCUCUUGGUUGGAGAGUCAUUUGGGUGGUAACGAAGCAGUGGACGAGGCAAUCAAUCGAGCACACCAUUGAGACAUGGAUCAACCUCUACUGAUUGACGGAGCUGUGGUGACUAAGAUUGACACCAUUGAUGAUAAAAUUGAGUGAUAUUAAUAGCUUUUGAUAGUCACUCUAAUCUCUGCCUAUGCACCUACCCUGACGUCUACCCCAGAGUCUAAAGACGACUUCUAUCUUCAGCUUAGUGAGUUGUCGCACAAUAUCCCGGCUGGUGAUGGCAUCAUUCUCCUUGGGGACUUCAAUGCCCGCAUUGGUUCUGACUGCAGUGCGUGGAAGAAUGUAAUUGGCCCGCAUGGUGUUGGGAGAAUGAAAGACAAUGGUCAACGUCUCCUCGAGCUCUACGCUUCGUACAACCUAUGCAUUGCCAACACCUUCUUCGCAGGCUCUGUUCGCUCCAAGGUCACCUGGAAACACCCUCGCUCACAGCACUGGCACCAACUGGACCACAUCAUUGUCAGACAGAGACAACUGCGCGAUACCACCCACUGCUGCAGCUUGCAUUCUGCUGAUUGCAAUACAGACCAUGCCCUUGUUUGCUGUAAGCUUCAUUUACUACCCAAGAAGUUCCAUCGUGCAAUGCAUAGACCAUUGCCUGCUAUUGACACUGUCUCAACUCACGACAUCAGUCAUGUU
Patiria miniata (bat star) is the source of this 1115-nucleotide long non-coding RNA. RefSeq lists it as uncharacterized. NCBI's taxonomy places the organism in Eukaryota, Metazoa, Echinodermata, Asteroidea, Valvatida, Asterinidae. The transcript is spliced from 3 exons. The record is from RefSeq and is a predicted model, not a curated record.